RNAcentral lists this unclassified non-coding RNA (529 nucleotides) under Hevea brasiliensis (rubber tree). The record is from RNAcentral. Lineage: Eukaryota; Viridiplantae; Streptophyta; Magnoliopsida; Malpighiales; Euphorbiaceae.
AAGCAAUUUAUUAUAGAACUAGGUUAUAUAUCCUCCUGGUGUUAUCUAUGUCAACACCAAAAAAUAGAGAAUGCAACUCUCUUAAGCAUUGAAGUCCAACAGAAACAAACAAAAGAAACAAUGGGCAGCAUCCUUCACAUACAUGCUUGUAAUUUUGCUUAAAUUCAAUUUAGUAUCAAUUUAAAAUACAAUAUUUAGUAAAAUUCAUAUAUAAAAUAGUAGAAUCCACGUAUUUAUAUCCUGAAUCUUCCUCCUUUGCAGGAUUAUACUUUUUAUUUGAGCUUCUUAAUUAAUUAGCAGUCUCCGUACUGUUAUUGUUCAUCUAUCUGCGCUUUCCUGGUCCUCCGGGUAGUGAUGGACUUGGACAUGCAUCUAUGCAACUGUCGGGUUUUUGAAGUGGACGAGCAGAUGUUGGAAGCGCUGCCAUAACCAAAAUGAUGAGGACGGUAAGUAUGGCAAUGAAAAUCUUCAUACUCUUGCCCAUCUUAGUAGCUUUGAAAUUAAGGGAAAUGCAUAUAAUUAACAGGAG